Molecule: unclassified non-coding RNA, 209 nt
Filed under: Hevea brasiliensis (rubber tree)
Lineage: Eukaryota; Viridiplantae; Streptophyta; Magnoliopsida; Malpighiales; Euphorbiaceae
Source: RNAcentral
GGACAUUGUGCAGCAGAAUUUGAUUACCGAGGAUUCGUACGCACAAAAACUUAGAGGACCUUGCGCGAGUGUUACUUCUAGACUGAGUUUCCUGAACGAGUUUUUGCCGGAGGAUCGCGACCCUGUUUAUGCUUGGCCGGUGAUAUUUUUUGUUUCCAUUCUCGCAUUCACAGUAAUCUGUGCAAAAAACAGACAAGAGAGCUUUAGCC